Molecule: long non-coding RNA, 1903 nt
Organism: Ornithorhynchus anatinus (platypus)
Lineage: Eukaryota; Metazoa; Chordata; Mammalia; Monotremata; Ornithorhynchidae
Exons: 3
Source: RefSeq, a predicted model, not a curated record
UGUCAAUUAACUUUAACUAUGAGUCAGAGUCCACCUCAUGUGCUGCUCCUCUCACUUAGAGUGGAGUCUUCACAAAUCAACCCCGGAAAGAUAGCCUCAGCCUGCACCUCAGAAGCUUGGAGGCAGUGAGGGAGGAGAGAAAGAGAGGAGAGGAGGCAAAGAGCUUGCUCUUCCUCUAGGUUUCAUGGGGAAAAGACUGUUCAUCUAGGUCUCUGCUCCUCCUCCUCCUCCUCUGCAGGGCACUGAGACUCCGAGCAACACCGUUCCUACUGUUCCAAUUGGAGAAACUGAGGCAGGAGAGGAGUUUGCCUGAGGAGGCCGGGGAACGGAUGGAAGAACCAGAGAUGACACAAUCUGGGUUUCUCCAUUAGGUGGAGGUCAGGACCCCUCCUCCCUCCCUUCCCAUCACCCCUCAUAGUCUUCCCCAGAGCCUGGGCAGCAGUCACCGACCAUCCCGGCUGAAGAGAGCACGUAAGAACCCAGACUCCUCAGCUCAUCUCAGGUGGAAGCCCAGCCCCGAGACUGCAAGGGGAAGGAGAAGGAGACCACUGUGGAGUACAGGAGGCCAUUAGCUACUGAAAGAAUCCCAUGGGAGGAAAAUACGUGGAUAGAUCAGCCCACUUCCCACCGCAUUGCCUGACUCCAACUCUCCCCCUCUGUGGAGAGGAGAAGAUGAACCCCGGAAGUCUCUUCUGAGGUUCACCAAGAGGGAGAGGUCUUUACUCCGGGGUCAGUGCCCACACUGGUGCCCACGAGGGGUUACAGUGUGAAGGCCCCAGGACCCCCGGCCGGCUCCAACCCCACGCAGUGAGAUGCGCUGCCUCCUGUCUCACCCUCCCCACUGUGGUGGCCAGAGCCGGGCUCUGGGGUCGGGUGGAGAGAGCUGCCUGGGCCAGUCUCUUCCCAGAGCCCCAGCUCUCGUGGAUGCCAGCUGUCUCCUCCCGGAUCAAGAUCCCUGAGGGGUUAUACCACCCCCGGGUUUGCAACCCUCUGCCUCCUCCCAAAGUGAUGGUGGCCAUCGGACCCGAGACUCUCUCUGGCCUUGCCCUUUCUCACAAGCCCAGGGCUGUGGCCAUCUGGGUAAUUACCAACCUACCCAGCCAACGUAAUCAGUGGACAGCUUCUCCCUACGCCCUUUCCCAAAGCGAGUCCACCUAGAGCGGACCGCCCAGCUGGCUUUCUCCCUGGAGGUGGAUGUCUGACCUCCAUCCUGACUCCGGUCAUCCAGGCUCUCUCCGAAUAAUGCCUUCAUGCCCCAGUGGCCCCAGCAGCUCCUUGGCAGCGAGAUUCACACAUCAGCUCCUUCAGGGCCCCGGGCAAGGCCAUGCUUGGUCAUUCUGGUCUCGAGGUCUAGAAUUGUAUCUUCCCUUCCUACUCCGACUCAUCCAACCACCCCCGCCCACCUCCCAAUACCAAGCAAGGGAGCCAUCCAACCUUAUCCCGCCCGCUCCCAAACUCCAGUUCAGAGACCUUCUGGCAUUUGGACUUUUGGGACCUUCAUAACAACCACCCCUGACUUGGCCCUGCCAAGACGCGGUCCACUGUCACCAACUCAGUGGCCACUGCCCAUCCAAAGCAAGCAGCCUCCACUACUACAGGGGGUGGGGUGGGGACAACAUCUGAGCGCCACCCUGCAAUAUCACAACAACCCGACAGGAAGCACAAGUCGGGGCCUGCGAUCCCCAUCUCAGAACGCGGCCGCACAAUGACUUCGGCCUGGAGAUGCGAGUUUCCGAAGGCAACGAUAGCCAGCAGCAGCACAGAGAGUGAGAGAGAGGAAAAGAGAGAGAGAGAGAGAGAGAGAAGAAGGGCACCAAGGGAGGAUUCUGAUUCCAACAGAAUCAUCUUAAGCACCAUCACCACAGAGAAAAGGAAGGGGAGAGAAGAGAAGGGGACAGUCUAC